RNAcentral lists this transfer RNA (76 nucleotides) under Clostridioides difficile. RNAcentral describes it as "tRNA-Pro(tgg)". The stretch from base 7 to 65 matches the Rfam family "tRNA", at positions 8 to 63 of the family's 71-position model. Rfam says of the family: Transfer RNA (tRNA) molecules are approximately 80 nucleotides in length. Their secondary structure includes four short double-helical elements and three loops (D, anti-codon, and T loops). Further hydrogen bonds mediate the characteristic L-shaped molecular structure. tRNAs have two regions of fundamental functional importance: the anti-codon, which is responsible for specific mRNA codon recognition, and the 3' end, to which the tRNAs corresponding amino acid is attached (by aminoacyl-tRNA synthetases). tRNAs cope with the degeneracy of the genetic code in two manners: having more than one tRNA (with a specific anti-codon) for a particular amino acid; and 'wobble' base-pairing, i.e. permitting non-standard base-pairing at the 3rd anti-codon position. The record is from RNAcentral. Lineage: Bacteria; Bacillati; Bacillota; Clostridia; Peptostreptococcales; Peptostreptococcaceae.
GAGGUGUAGCGCAGUUUGGUAGCGCACAUGGUUUGGGACCAUGGGGUCUGGGGUUCGAGUCCCUGAUGGCCCACCA